CCUACGGGUGGCAGCAGUGAGGAAUAUUGGUCAAUGGGAGAGAUCCUGAACCAGCCAAGCCGCGUGAGGGAAGACGGCCCUAUGGGUUGUAAACUUCUUCUGUCGGAGAACAAAACCCGGGAAGUGUCCCGGACUGCGUUUAACCGAAGAACAAGCAUCGGCUAACUCCGGGACAGCCGCCGCGGUAAUACGGAGGAUGCGAGCGUUAUCCGGAUUUAUUGGGGUUAAGGGGUGCGUAGGCGGACCGUUAAGUCAGCGGUAAAAUUGCGGGGCUCAACACUGUCGAGCAGUUGAAACUGGCAGACUUGAGUUGGCGAGAAGUACGCGGAAUGCGCGGUGUAGCGGUGAAAUGCAUAGAUAUCGCGCAGAACUCCGAUUGCGAAGGCAGCGUACCGGCGCCAGACUGACGCUGAGGCACGAAAGCGUGGGGAUCGAACAGGAUUAGAUACCCGUGUAGUC
This 459-nucleotide ribosomal RNA is filed under the name uncultured bacterium. RNAcentral describes it as "partial 16S ribosomal RNA". It matches the Rfam family "Bacterial small subunit ribosomal RNA", at positions 338 to 795 of the family's 1533-position model. The record is from RNAcentral.